AGGGAGACAGGGCAUGGAUGUGGUGAGUUGCCAUUGGUAGGUGGGCUGGCUGGGGACAUGAUUGGUUAUUGGGGAAACAGCAUAGGCGAUUUCAUUGGUUAUAGGGAGACAGUGUGGAUGGAGAUGUGAUUGGUUAUUGGGGAAACAAAGCAUAGCAAGUUUUGAAUAGGUGUUUUUUGGCCUUGGGCUGGGGUUGAGCGCUUAGUUUGGUGCUGAAUGUAGAUCUGGGUGCAGUAGCAGAGGUAAGUGAAUUCAUGUGGAGAAGCCAGAUGCUGAGUAAUGUGCUCAGAAUAAUAACACAGUUAUCAGGUGCAAGCAGGGAUGGACGUGUCAGUUUAACUCCCGGUGAGGCAACAGGCCUUACAAUUUCCACUAUUUAUAAUCCCACUAUUUCACCAAUCUGGCUUUGGAGAUUCUGUUGAAGAGAGAUGUGUCCGUAGUAGAUCCUGUUUUUAUUCAACUCUUACUGCGGCUAGAGAGGUGGAUUGCUGGCUGCUGCCUUUUAGGUGGAAUGUAGGCUUUCAUCUCACAGACCCUGCCUUAAAUGGCCUUAGUAAGAACCGAAGUGAACCUUUUACUUUUUGUGUCUCUUCUCAGACCUAGCCUGCUUAACUCACUUGACUUGCUUGGGCCAUGUAUGGACCUGAAUUUGACCUUUGCUUGAUAGGAAGCCUUUCCCUUGAUAUAUCAGUAGCUUCUAUGGUCAAGUUAGAAUGUGAACCCUUUGACAUUAUUAUUGGAGGAAGCUGAAAGGUAUUAGGCAUGAAAUACUAAGAACACCUACAACCACUUAUCCUGACUUGAAAACGUUUUACCUUCUAAAUAUAACUGAAUCUGUGUGACUUUCUGUAAUUAGUAGAAAGGCAGACUUCUAAGAGAAGAUAAUACCAUAAGACAACUAGGGCACUUGGCUGUAGGGGACAGUAUUAGGUUUAGCAUCCUCAGGUAAAACAGGGCCGCUAAGAAAAGCAAAGUAUAGGUUGGACACAGUGGCUCAUGCCAGUAAUCCGAGCACUUUGAGAGUUUGAGGUGGGAGGACUGCUUCAUCCCAGGAGCCCGAGAUCACCCUGGGCCAUGUAGUGACACCCUUGUUUAUAAGAAAUUAAUAAUUAGCUGGGUGUGGUGACAUGCCUGUAGUCCUAGCUGCAGGAGGUUGAGGCAGGAGGAUUGCUUGAACCCAGGAGUUCAAAGUUACAACUUGAACAGCCAUAAUCAUGCCACUGUACUCCAGCCUGGGUGGUAGAGUAAGACUGUCUCAAAAAAAAAGUGUGGUAAUGAAUGACUUCAUAUUCUGCAACACAAACUGAAACGUUGGAAAAUUGUCUUUUGUGGUAGGGGGAACCAAGGGCUGGGAGCAAAGGGACUAGUCAGUCCCUUACCAAUUAAUUGCGGUCCUCUGUGUUAGAACUGAGCAUGGAGGGAUCUGAUCUUUUCAUCUGCUGUUAAUCAGAUUGCAAUGUGCAUAAUGUGUGUUGAGACUGAGAACUUUAAGCAGAUGCUUCUCCAUUAAUAUAGAUAAUUUGCAUCUUGUGGGGGGUUCUUGCUAUUUUUUUAAAAUCUGAUGCUUUUGAAAUAAGACUUUAUUUGCAACUUUGUAACUAAACUUUCUACCUUUCUCUGUACCACCUCUGAGCCUGCCUCUCAGGAUUCUGUACCUUAGAGUAGGAGCUAACAGGAAUACUGUUAUGUUGCUACCAUUUCUUCUUUCUUAUCACAAGUUGUAUUUUCCUACUUCUUUGCAUGCCAGCCAUGGAUUUUACCUUUUUUUCAUGCUGGGUGUUUUUACAUUUCUAUUAAUAUUCUUAACCUUUGUUCUGGAGUAUGGGUAAGUUACCUAGAUGCAAUUUGAUUCAUUUGAGACUUGCCUUUAAGGUUAGGCAACACCAGAGCAGCGUUUAGUCCAGGGUUAAUUUCCCCCUACUACUGAAGUAUCAGACUCGUAGGACUCUGCUUGCUGCUCCCUGAAUUAUGAGGUUUUCCAGUAUAGCUAUUCCUAGCCCUGUGUGAGCUCCAGGAAUUCUUCCCUCUGAUCCUUCCGGCUAGUUUUCUCAUAUGCAUGUACAGAUCAGUGCUCUUCUGAAUAUUUCCAGGAGACCUGCAAAUUUCCAGGGUUCUCUCUGUGCAACUCUCUACUCUCCAGUGCUCUGCAGACUUGGUCUGCCUUGACCUGACUCUGCUGUCUUUUCAACUCAGGAAAUUCACUGGGCUCUGCCUGCCUACCUUUCUUCCCUACUCUGAGGCCUGGACACUCAAAGUAGUCAGCGAGGACAGUUAUCGGGCUCACCUCACUUAUUUAUUUUUUUGUUUUUUUCUUUUUGUCACCUCACUUAUUUCACAUUCCUUAGGCAUUGCUGUCCUUUGUCGCCUGAUGUCUACUCUUUGGGAAGCCCUUGUUUCAUAUAUUUUGUCUUGUUUUUUAGUUCUAGGCAGGAGAGUAAAUCUGGUCCCUGUUACUCCAUCUUGGUUGGAAUUGAAAGUUUCUUCCAGGUACUAUUUUUUAAAUUGAGGUAACAUUCACAUAAAAUUCACCAUUUAAAAAUGUACAAUUUAGUGGGUUGAAAUACAUGCAGUAUAUGCAACUGAAACCACUGUCUGAUUUUAGAACACUUUCAUCACCCCAUGGUAUAAACCCAUGCUCAUCGAGCACUCAUUCCCUAUUUCAUUUACUUUGUAAUGUUGUCCCUGUGCCACCAGGAAGAAGUCUGAGUUGUUCAAUGUGGCUCCCAUGGCCUUGUGGUGGCUCCUUGGUGGUGUCAUUUUUUCUCCUGAUUUGCGUGGCCCACACCUGUCCAUCUCUAGUACUCCAAUGAGAUGCUUUUCUUACCAGAAGCCUUUUCUGAUACCCCAAGAUCAGGCCCUAUGUCCCCUAAAUUGCUCAAUUAGCCCCAGACCUUAGCUUUUUUCUUACACUGACCAUGCUGUAUAUGGCCCUCUCCUCAGUUACACUGGGAGCUGGAUGAGAUGCGUCCUGUGCAUGGUUGUAUUCUCUGCCCAGCAUGUGGCAGGUGCUUAGGGACUUGCUGAAAUGAGUAAAGAUGUUAUCGGUCCCUGGGGAUCCAGGUUCCUAGAGACCCAAUGGCUGCACCGUACCCACUGUUAGCAUCACACAGCAUGAGGGCCAGAGAGCCUGCCUUCAAGGUUUCCAGAGAGUGGUGGGGGCAGGCACAAGUCUAGGAGGUCAGCUUCUCCCAUCCUAGACAGCUCCUGGUCACCUGAUGAUCUGCACCCUGCCAAGCCCAAGUGUAACCUGUUUACCGCAUGAGCUGGUUUUCUUUCUUAACCAUCACCAGUUGUGUUUUGUUGACUUCUCUUCCCUUCUGGGUGUUGGGUGAUGCUGAGCAGUAUUCAGACAGAUUUCAUAGGUUUCCAAUUAAUUUUGGUUAAGAUUAAACUUUGCUUAUUUUAAAACUUGAGCUUCGAGCCUAUUUCAGGCUCUUCUCCCUCUCCCCCAGCACAGGCAAGGGCUGGGCAAAAGCCCAUGUGUAUGCUCUGCUCUCCACACACAUCCCCUCUCCCCUUCCGGCAUUAGGACCCUUGUGGGAGCUUAGUCUUGCCCCAAGCCUGGGAGGACAACUGGAGGGAGAAGAGAGUCUGCUCCUGUGACAGGCCACCUGUUGUUUAUGGGGAGUGUGCUGGCUUUGUUCUGGCUGUUGCACUCUGUACAAUGCUGGUGACCUCUGCUCAUGGGGAGGUCCUUGUGUAGCGAAUCACUCUCUCCUCCUGGGGACCCUGUCCCUCCUGAGAGUGGCAGCUCUUCCCACACCUUUCCCAAGUGGGUCUUCCUAUUGCUUGGUCUAGGCGCUGUUUGUGGUCUUUGACCUUCCAUUAUUAACCACUGGGGUCUUUUCUAUCCCCUUUAAAGACUGCAGAACCAGGAUGGGUAAAGGUUUCCUUGCAGGUCUGGGUACUCCAGCAGGUGUCCCACCAUGAGAAAUCUCUGGACCAGGAGCAGGUACCAAUCUUUAAGUUCAAGUCAGUCUCCAUAUGCCAGUGAUCCUCCUCUUCUCCCCAUAGUGCAGUGAGAAGACUGAAAAUGACAAAUACUCACAGAACACUCUCUCAAGAGCCCUCACUCUCGCCAUCUUGGUUCAGUUGGUAGCAGUUGUGCAUCUGGGGGUGAGAGGCUAUUCUCCCCUUCCUGAAGAUUCCUAUCUUUAUAUGUUCAUUUAAAAGGUUCUCAUGGCUGCAGGAAGGAUAGGAACAACUCUCCCACUAUGGACACAGCUUUUCUCUGCAGACACCCCAAAAGCAGACCACCUCAUUUAUCAGGCCUCUUUCUGCUCUUGAUGGUUGAUGCUCCGAGGGCUAACAUCUCUUGGCAAACCCAGAGCUAACUUUAGAAUAUGCUACACUUAGUGGCUUUGGGGACCUUAGCUGCAUGUGCUCAAGCAAUAGGAACAAACAAACAGCAGAUCUGUCUCUCCAUCCAGAGUAAACUUGGUUGAGGGUCGUCUUUAUCCUUGCAGUCUUCAAGUCCAGUGUCAUGUCUGGAGUAGACAAAUGAUCAGUUUGUGGAAUUCAAUCAUGGCAGGAAGAAGGAGUGCUAAGUGGCCCCCUGUAUCUCUGUGCAUAGGCUCCUGGGAGGAUUUGUGUCUACACUCCCUUCUGAAAAGGCCUCUUUUUCCUACAAGAGGGGUCUGGGACAGAUGAGCCAUUUUUUUUUUCAGAGCACAUAGUGGAACAGACCGGAGGCCCCACCUUCCUCUGCUGCUGGAGGAGUGGGAGUGGGUUUCCAUGGCAAUAGCACGCACCAGCACUCACCUCCGCUUUGCAGCCCUGCUGUAGAGGUGAGAGCUGCCUGCCUUUGGUAUGCUGCUCAGAGCCCAAGCCAGGCUGGCUCCUGGCUUCCUGCACUCUAGCAGGAAGGGACACCAGAAGGGACAGCACUAUAGGGACACUAGCCCAGAGGUAUAAGUCAGGGGCAGGACAUAUAACUACGAAGCAUCUUCACCUUGCUGGAAAGAUGAAAAGCUAGUUGAAAUUGAUCUUCUGUAUUAUUAGUUUGAAAACUGCAUGUAACUAGAGUUGUAAAACACAUCAUAUUUCAGUCUUGUAGUUAGAGGCAGAGGGUGGUAGGUGAGAUGCUGAAGGGGAGAGAGGGAAGGGCAAGCACGGAUUCAUACCUUGAAAAAGAGAGAAAGAAGGGGGAAUUAAGAAAGCAGCAAACAUAAAACCACACGGUGCUUGGUGCCUGUCGGAUACUGAGACAUUCAAUGUCCAGCCAGAAUGACACACAAAUACUCCCAGAACGCUCUCUCAAGAGCCCUCACUCUCACCACUCUUGGUUCUGUUGGUGGCACCAGCAUGGGCUUACCUGUUUCUCCUGCAACUCAGCAGGUGUGCAUCUGGGGGUGAGAGGCCAUUCUCCCCUUCCUGAAGAUUCCUAUCUUUAUAUGUUCAUGUCUGCAGGACGAAGAGGAACACCUCCCCACCAUGGACACAGCUUUUCUCUGCAGACACCCCAAAAGCAGACCACGUCAUCUAUCAGGGCUCUUUCGGCUCCUGAUGGGGCUGUUGAGUUUUAUGGGAGGGAUAUAUUCUUGAAGACCUUGCAUAAUUACCAGAAAUAUAUGUCAUUUAAGACUAAUCCUGACAGGGACGUUGCAUUUGUGUGCCAGGACUGCCAUCACAGAAUACCGCAGACUGAGGGAGCUGAAACAAUGGAUGUUUAUUUUCUUAAAUUCUGGAGGCUGGAAGUCCAUGACCAUGGUGUGGCAUGGUUGGUUCCUUCUGAGGGCUCUCUUUUUCUCUUCUAGAUGUGUUCCUGGCUUCCCACUGUGUCCUCUCACGGCCUUUCCCCUGUGUUGCCUGUGUCCUAAUCCCCUCUUCUCCUAAGGACAUCCAUCAGAUUGGAUUAGGGCCCACCCUAAUGACGCCAUUUUAACUUGAUUAUCUCUUCACUGGCCCUAUCUCCAAAUAAAGCCACAUUCUAAGGUCCUGGGGGUGAGGACUUCAACAUGAGUUUUGAGCUGGGGGGAGGGACACAAUUUAUAAUAGAUAUCAUGUGUUUCUGUUAAAGAAGCAAAAUUACAUGGCAAAAAUAUAAAUUUUAAUCUUAAACCCGAUAAAAGUGAAAUUAGAUGAUUCUUAAAACAUUCUAAAACAUUGAUAGAUUUAAAAUUUUAUGUAGAGGUGAGAUUUAGCGUUUUUUAAAAAUUGUUUCACAUUUGCAAAAUCUAAUUUUCCUCAUGCAAAAAGAAAGAAAAAUCAAUUGAAUGGCCACUAUGAGCCAUGCACUCUUCUAGGUACCAAGGAUACUGCACUGAACAAAACAGACAAAAAUCUCUGCCCUCCUCAUGAAAUUUAAAUUGUAGCCAGAAGAAACAGACUAUGUACAAAAUAGUCAAUAACAUGGUAUGCUAGAAAGUGAUAGGUGUAGUGGAAAAAAAUAAAGUGGGAAGGGAGUAUGUCCUAUGGGUGAAUUGGUAGGUGGAGGAAUUGCAGUGUUAGAGAAGUUUAGGAGGGCCUCAUUGAGAAGGUACCUUUUUUUUUUUUUUUUUGAGACGGAGUUUCGCUCUUGUUACCCAGGCUGGAGUGCAAUGGCGGGAUCUCGGCUCACCGCAACCUCCGCCUCCCGGGUUCAGGCAAUUCUCCUGCCUCAGGCUCCCGAGUAGCUGGGAUUACAGGCACGUGCCACCAUGCCCAGCUAAUUUUUUGUAUUUUUAGUAGAGAUGGGGUUUCACCAUGUUGACCAGGAUGGUCUUGAUCUCUUGACCUCGUGAUCCACCCGCCUCGGCCUCCCAAAGUGCUGGGAUUACAGGCGUGAGCCACUGUGAGAAGGUACUUUUAACAAAGAUUUGAAGAAAGUGAGAGAGACACACAGAGGACAUUCAGAACACUUGCAAGGUGCUUACAUAGAAUGUAUUUAGUAUGUUUGAGGAAUUGCAAAAAGGUCAGCAGGGUUGGAGAGUACUGAGUGAUAGGGAGAGGGGUAGGAGACAGGGCCAGAGAAGUAGGCAGAAGAUGUAUCAUGGAGGAAUUUAGGGGCUGUGAAAAUGAGUUUGGAUUUUUAGUGUAUGUCCCUGAAAGACCAAAAGAAGGGGACGGAGGAAUGUUGAGCUGGGAAUAUCGAGAGUGGUGCUUGAUCAGUAAUCAGCUACAGAGAGUUUGAAGUUUUUCGUAGUGACAAUGUCUAGGAGUUGACCAUGGAUUGGAUGGUUGAGGUAGAUGGAAGACAAGCUUAUUGGAGCAUUAUCAAGGAAUUCUGAGGUCAGUAUCUUGGAAGAAAUAGAAUAAAGGAGCAGUAGUAAAGAGAAUGGCAGUGAACUAUGGACAAAAUCUUGAAGGAGAGAUGGGAAUGACCCAGGUGUUUGCAAUGAGAUAGGCAGGGAAUGGGCCUGUUUGAUGAUAUAAGAUUCCAGCCUGAGUUUUAGGGCAGCGAGAGGGAGUGUGGUCUGGAGGCAACAUCGAGGAUCCCAGAGGACACUAUCCCAUCCCCAUACUGUCCUAGUGGGGGAUGGGGUAGAACAGGGGUCCCCUCUUCACUGAUGCUGAUGGGAAGGCCACAUGAGGGUUGGUGACCAGGGAGGGAUGGCAGCCAGGGAAGGUCCCCUCUAGAUGUGAAAUAUGAUGUCUUUUAGGAUACUGCUAUUCAUGACUCAUUUACGUAUUUUAAUAAAACACAAUGGAGUAUCACUUCUUGACACUGGGCUUCUUAGUCUAGGUGAAAUUGAGAAUUUAUAUAUAUAUAUUGCACUUUAGGUUCUGGGGUACGUGUGCAAAACAUGCAGGAUUGUUGCAUACAUACAUACAUGGCAAUGUGGUUUGCUGCCUCCAUCCCCCUGCCACCUAUAUCUUCCAUUUCUCCCCCUGUUAUCCCUCCCCAACCUCCCUACCCCCCCGCUGUCCCUCCUCUAUUCCUCCACAACAGACCCCAGUGUGUGAUGCUCCCCUCCCUGUGUCCAUAUGAGGGAGAACAUGCAGUGUUUGUUUUUCUGUUCUUGUGUCAGUUUUCUGAGAAUGAUGGUUUCCAGAUUCAUCCAUGUCCCUACAAAGAACACAAACUCAUCGUUUUUUAUGGCUGCACAGUAUUCCAUGGUUUAUGUGCCAUAUUUUCUCUGUCCAGCCUUUCAUCGAUGGGCACUUGGGUUGGUUCCAGGUCUUUGCUAUUGUAAACAGUGCCGCAAUGAACAUACGUGUGCAUAUGUCUUUAUAAAAGAACGAUUUAUAAUCCUCUGGAUAUAUACCCAGUAAUGGGAUUGCUGGGUCAAAUGGAAUUUCUAUUUCUUGGUCCUUGAGGAAUCGCCACACUGUCUUCCACAAUGGUUGAACUAAUUUACACUCCCACCAACAGUGUAAAAGUGUUCCUAUUUCUCCACAUCCUCUCCAGCAUCUGUUGUCUCCAGAUUUUUUAAUGAUCGCCAUUCUUACUGGCGUGAGAUGGUAUCUCAACAUGGUUUUGAUUUGCAUUUCUCUAAUGACCAGUGAUGAUGAGGAUUUUUUCAUAUGUUUGUUGGCCUCAUAAAUGUCUUUUGAAAAGUGUCUAUUCAUGUCCUUCACCCACUUUUGAAUGGGUUUGUUUUUUUUUUUCUUGUAAAUCUGUUUUAGUUCUUUGAAGAUUCUGGAUAUUAGCCCUUCGUCAGAUGGGUAGAUUGCAAAAAUUUUUUCCCAUUCUGUUGGUUGCCAGUUCACUCUAAUGAUUGUUUCCUUUGCUGUAUAGAAGCUCUGGAGUUUAAUUAGAUCCCCUUUGUCUAUUUUGGCUUUUGUUGCCAAUGCUUUUGGUGUUUUAGUCAUGAAGUCCUUGCCUAUGCCUAUGUCCUGAAUGGUUUUGCCUAGGUUUUCUUCUAGGGUUUUUAUAGUGUUAGGCCUUAUGUUUAAGUCUUUAAUCCAUCUGGAGUUAAUUUUAGUGUACGGUGUCAGAAAGGGGUCCAGUUUCUGCUUUCUGCACAUGGCUAGCCGGUUUUUUCAACACCAUUUAUUCAACAGGGAAUCCUUUCCCCAUUGCUUGUUUUUGUUGGGUCUGUCAAAGAUCAGAUGGUUGUAGAUGUGUGGCAUUGCCUCUGAGGCCUCUAUUCUGUUCUGUUGGUCUAUAUCUCUGUUUUGGUACCAGUACCAUGCUGUUUUGAUUACUGUAGCCUUGUAGUAUAGUUUGAAGUCAGGUAGUGUGAUGCUUCCAGCUUUGUUCUUUUUGCUUAGAAUUGUCUUGGCUAUGUGGGCUCUCUUUUGGUUCCAUAUGAAGUUUAAGGUGGCUUUUUUCCAGUUCUGUGAAGAGGGUCAUAGGUAUCUUGAUGAGGAUAGUGUUGAAUCUAUAAAUUACUUUGUGCAGUAUGGCCAUUUUCACGAUCUUGAUUCUUUCUAACCAUGAGCAUGGAAUGUUCUUCCAUCUGUUUGUGUCCUCUCUUAUUUCGUUGAGCAGUGGUUUGUAGUUCUUGUUGAGGAGGACCUUUACAUCCUUUGUUAGUUGUAUUCCUAGGUAUUUUAUUCUCUUUGUAGCAAUUGUGAAUGGCAUUUCUUGAUUUGGCUCUCUUUAAGUCUGUUAUUGGUGUAUAGAAAUGCUUGUGAUUUCUGCACACUGAUUUUGUAUCCUGAGACUUUGCUGAAGUUGCUUAUGAGUUUCAGGAGAUUUUGGGCUGAGAUGAUAGGGUCUUCUAAAUAUACAAUCAUGUCAUCUGCAGAUAGAGAUGAUUUGACUUCCUCCUUUUCUAAUUGAAUACCCUUUAUUUCUUUCUCUUGCCUGAAUCCUCUGUCUAGAACUUCCAAUACUAUAUUGAAUAGGAGUGGUGAGAGAGGACAUCUUUGUCUAGUGCCAGAUUUCAAAGGGAAUGCUUCCAGUUUUUGCCCAUUCAGUAUGAUAUUGGCUGUGGGUUUGUCAUAAAUAGCUUUUAUUAUUUUGAGAUACGUUCCAUCAAUAACCUAGUUUAUUGAGAGUUUUUAGCAUAAAGGGCUGUUGAAUUUUUUCAAAGGCCUUCUCUGCAUCUAUUGAGAUAAUCAUGUGGUUUUUAUCUUCGGUUCUGUUUCUGUGGUGGAUUAUAUUUAUAAACUUGCAUAUGUUGAACCAGCCUUGCAUCCCCGGGAUAAAGCCUACUUGAUUGUGAUGGAUAAGCUUUUUGAUGUGCUGUUGCAAUUGGUUUGCCAGUAUUUUAUUGAAGAUUUUUGCAUCUAUGUUCAACAUGGAUACUGGCCUGAAGUUUUCUUGUUUUUGGUGAGUCUCUGCCCAGUUUUGGUAACAGGAUGAUGUUGGUCUCAUAAAAUGAUUUGGGAAGGAGUCCCUCUUUUUGGAUUGUUUGGAAUAGUUUCAGAAGGAAUGGUACCAGCUCAUGUUUGUAUGUCUGGUAGAAUUCAGCUGUGAACCCAUCUGGACCUGGGCUUUUUUUGGGUGGUAGGCUCUUAAUUGCUGCCUCAACUUCAGUCCUUGUUAUUGGUCUAGUCAGGGUUUUGACUUCUUCCUGGUUUAGGCUUGGAAGGGUGCAAGUGUCCAGGAAUUUAUCCAUUUUUUCCAGGUUUACUGGUUUGUGUGCAUAGAGUUCUCUGUAGUAAUCUCUGAUAGUAGUUUGUAUUUUUGUGGGGUCGGUGGUGAUAUCCCCUUUAUCAGUUCUUACUGCAUCGAUUUGAUUCUUCUUUCUUUUUUAUUAAUCUGGCUAGUGGUUUGUCUAUUUUGUUGAUCUUUUCAAAAAACCAGAUCCUGAAUUUAUUGAUUUUUUUGAAGGGUUUUUUUGUGUUUCUGUCUCCUUCAGUUCUGCUCUGAUCUGUUAUUUCUUGUCUUCUGCUAGCUUUUGAGUUUCUUUGAUCUUGCUCCUCUAGCUCUUUCCAUUUUGACGAUAUGUGCGGGAGUCUCAGUCUCUUUGUAGGUCGUUAAAAACUUGCUUUAUGUAUCUGGGUGCUCCUGUGUUGGGUGCGUAUAUAUUUAGGAUCAUUAGCUCUUCUUGUUGCAUUAAUCACUUUACCAUUAUGUAAUGCCCUUCUUGGUCUCUUUUGAUCUUUGUUGGUUUAAAGUCUAUUUAAUCAGAGACUAGGAUUGCAACUCCUGCUUUUUUUUGCUCUCCAUUUGCUUGGUAAAUCUUCCUCCAUCCCUUUAUUUUGAGCCUAUGUAUGUCCUUGCAUGUGAGAUGGGUUUCCUGGAUACAGCACACCAAUGGGUUUUGGCUUUUUAUCCAAUUUGCCAGUGUGUGUUUUUUGAUUGGGGCAUUUUUAGCCCAUUUACAUUUAAGGUUAAUAUUGUUCUGUGUGAAUUUGAUCCUGCCAUUUUGAUGCUAGCUGGUUGUUUUGCCUGUUAGUUGACACAGUUUCUUCAUGGUUUCAAUGCUUUUUACCAUUUGGUAUGUUUUUGGAGUGGCUGGUACUGGUUAUUCCUUUCUAUGUUUAGUACUUCUUUCAGGCAGGCCUGGUGAUCAUGAAAUCUCUCAGCAAUUGCUUGUUUAUAAAUAAUUGUAUUUCUUCUUUGCUUAUGAAGCUUAGUUUGGCUGGAUGUGAAAUUAUAGGUUGAAAGUUUUUUUCUUUAAGGACGUUGAAUAUUGGCCCUCACUCUCUUCUGGCUCGUAGGGUUUCUGCUGAGAGAUCUGCUGUCAGUCUGACUUUCUUCCCUUUGUGGGUAACCUGACCUUUCUCUCUGGCUGCCCUUAGCAUUUUUUUUUCUUCAUUUCAACCCUUGUGAAUCUGAUGAUUAUGUGCCUUGGGGUUGCUCUUCCUCAGGAAUAUAUUUGUGGUGUUCUCUAUGUUUCCUGGACUUGAAUAUUGGCCUGUCUUGCUAGGUUGGGGAUGUUCUUCUGGAUAAUAUCCUGAAGAGUGUUUUUCAGCUUGGAUUCCUUCUCUCUGUCACAUUCAGGUACACCUAUGAAACGUACAUUAGGUCUUUUCACACAAUCCCAUAUUUCUUGUAGGCUUUGUUCAUUUCUUUUUACUCUUUUUUUCUUUAAUCUUGCCUUCUUUAUUUCAUUGAGUUGAUCUUCAACCUCUGAUAUCCUUUCUUUUGCUUGGUUGAUUCGGCUAUUGAAACUUGUGUAUGCUUCACAAAGUUCUCGUGUUGUGUUUUCAGCUCCAUGAAGUCAUUUAUAUUCUUCUCUAAGCUGUUUAUUCUUAUUAGCAUUUCAUCAAACCUUUUUUCAAGGUUCUUAGUUUCUUUGCAUUGGGUUAGAACAUGUUCUUUUAACUCAGAGAAGUUUGUUUUUACCCACCUUCUGAAGUCUUUGCCAAUUCAUCAGACUCAUUCUCCAUCCAGCUUUGUUCCUUUGCUGGUGAUGAGUUGUAAUCCCUUGGAGGAAAGGUGUUCUGGUUUUGGGUGUUUUCAUCCUUUUUGCACUGGUUUCUUCCCAUCUUUGUGGAUUUCGCUACCUGUGGUCUUUGUAGUUGUUGACUUUCAGAUGGGGUCUCUGAGUGGACAUCGUUUUUGUUGAUGAUGAAGUUAUUUCUUUCUGUUUUUUACUUUUCCUUCUAACAGUCAGAACCCUCUGCUGUAGGGCUGCUGGAGGUCCACUCCAGACCCUGCUUGCCUGGGGAUCACCUGCAGUGGCUACAGAACAGUACUGGUUGCUGCCAGUUUCUUUUUCUGUUAUCUUCGUCCCAGAAGGAUACCUGCUAGAUGUCAGCCUGAGCUCUCCUUUAUGAGGUGACUCUUUGGGUAUAUGGGGGUCAGGAAGCUGCUUGAGGAGGCAGUCUGUCCCUUAUAGGAGCUCAAAUGCUGAGCUGUGACCUCCAUUGUUCUGUUCAGAGCUGCUGGGCAGGUACAUUUUUGUCUGCUGCAGCAGAACUCAUAACUGCCUUUUUUCCCAGGUGCUCUGUCCCGGGAAGGUGGGGCUUUAUUUUUAAGUUACUGACAUGCUGCUGCCUUUUUUCAGAGAUGCCCUGCCCAGCAAGGAGGUAGCCUAGUCACAUUCUGCCAGCAGAAGCAUUGCUGAGCUGCCGUGGGCUUUGCCCAGCUGCUGUUUGCACUUCCUUGUAGCUUUGUUUAUAGAGGUAUAGUUAGAACUGCCUCAGUAAUGGUGAAUUGCCUCUGUAAUGGCGGACUGCCUGGCUAAUGGUAGACUGUCUCAGUAAUGGUGGACUGCCUCGGUAGUGGUUGACUGCCUUGAUAAUGGCAGAUGCCCUUCCCUCCACCAGAGCUGGACCAUCCCGGGUCCAGCUGCGCUUGCUGUGAAACUCUCAAUCCAGAGCAUUUCAGAUUGCUAGUCUUUGUGGGGGUGGGAUCCGCUGAGCCAGAUCACCUGGCUCCCUUUAUCAACCUUCUUUUUUUUUCAGUUGAAUGGGUGGCUCUGUCCCCCAGGUGUUCCAGGUGCCAGUUGAAAUGGCUGCCCAGAUUUGUGUGAGUUUUUGUGCAGAGACCCACUGCGCUGGCUGAAACAGCCGUGCUGGAAACUCAUGGUGCUUUUCAGCCUGGGAAUCUCUUGGUCUGUGGACAGUAAUAACUCGUUUUCAAAUGCGGUGUUCACUCACCCUCUGCGUUGUUCUGUCUGGGAACUGCGCUCCAGAACUGUUCCUAUUCGGCCAUCUUGGAUCCCUCCUGCAUCUUCUUUUAAAGGCUUUGUUCUUCAGGUGGAGUAUUCUUUUUACUGUUCUGCUAAUAUUGUCCAUAUUCAAGUCUAGACAGCAGAUGCAUUGGCUUUCGAUUAGAAGAUUUUCAGAAUUUAUGCUGUAUAAGCAAGAGGUUCUUUUAUUUUUUAUUAUUUUCUUCUUCUUCUUUUUUUUUUUUGGGACAGAGUUUCAUUGUUAUUACCCAGGCUGGCACGAUCUCGGCGCACUGCGACCUCCACCUCCUGGGUUCAGGCAAUUCUCCUGCCUCAGCCUCCUGAGUAGCUGGGACUACAGGUGUGCCCCACCAUGCCCAGCUAAUUUUUGUAUUUUUAGUAGAGAGGGGGUUUCACCUUGUUGACCAGGAUGGUCUUGAUCUCUUGACCUCGUGAUCCACCUGCCUCAGCCUCCCAAAGUGCUGGGAUUAUAGGCGUGAGUCACUGCGCCUGGCAGGUUCUUUUAUUUUUAAUACACGUGGGUAUUUCCUCAUAUUAUUUUAGGAAAAUAUGUAUCACCUCCUCUUCUUUUUAGUUUCUGGAGCCGGGAGCCUGGCUUCCCUCUCUUUGCUUAAUGCUGCAGCUGUGCAGGCCCCAAUCAUCUGCCCUGAGGCCCUGGCACUGCGCUGCUCCCCUCAUACCAGGUUAAGUCUUACUGCCUGUGAGAAUUUUUAAGAAGUUCUUUUCUCUAGAAAUGGAAUAAUAGGAACACAUAGUGAUAUAGUUUGGCUGUGUCCCCACCAGAAUCCUAUCUUGAAUUGUAGUUCCCAUAAUCCCCACGUGUUGUAGGAGGGGCCUGGUGGGAGGUAGUUGAAUCAUGGGGGUGGUUACCUCCAUCCUGUUCUCAUGACAGUGAGUUCUCACAAGAUCUGAUGGUUUUUUAAGGGGAUUUUCCCUACCUUCGCUCUGCAUGUCUUGCUGCCACCACAUGAAGAAGGAUGUGUUUGCUUCCCUUUCCUUCAUGAUUUUGAGUGUCCUGAGGUCUCCCCAGCCCUGAGGAACUGUGAGCCAAUUAAACCUCUUUCCUUUAUAACCUCUUUCCUUUCCUUUCCUCGGUCUUGGGUAUUUCUUCAUAGCAGUGUGAGAACAGACUAAUACAAAUAGAUUAUGCUCUUUGGUCUUGACAUAGAGGCAUCUAGGAUCAUAGCAGAGCCCCUCUUUAUUGCUUGAAAGAUUCUGUUUUGGGGCCCAUCACUACCCUGAUGGCUGGCUGCAUCUAGAACACAGGAAGAAAGAGUUGCCUUCAAGGACAUGCAAUUGCCAGGAAAAGAGCAAGAAUGUAAAACAUAAAGAGGUUGAAAUGAGUUUGUGAAGUCACUAAGAACAAUGUAGUACAGGUGGAAUGAACUCCUUGGAGAUGUGACUCUCAGCGGGGAGAGCCCUUUGUUCAUUUGCCCUAUGGACAGCAUAUUGUAUACCAGUGCUUCAAAGGGUGCCUGGGCAUACCAGGGUUCCCCAAGACCUUUUAGGGGUAUGCGACAUCAAAUUCACUUCGAGAAUAGUGCCAGGAUGUUAUUUGCCUUUUUAAUUUUAAUUCUUUCACAAAUAUAUGGUGGAGUUUUCCAGAAGCUAUUCCAUAUGUGGUAUUAUAGCAAAUGAAUAAGCAGAUAUGAGAAAUCAGAUGUCUUAAGCCAGUUAGUAGAGAUUCUCAGGAAUAUAAAACAAUGUCAUGUUAAUCAUCUAAAUGUGGGGGUUUUUUUUUGGUUUAGAAAAAUAGUUAUUUUUUAUAAAGAAUUUGUGAAUUAAUUGGGUUAUUAUGGUAAUGUUUAAAUAAAUAGAUUUUAAAUUCCUCAGCUUUAAUUUCUAAAACUAUAAAUAUGAUAGGUAUAAUCCUGAUAAACAAAAACUCUUUUUCAUCCUUAAUGAUUUUUUAAGACUGUAAAGGAAGCCAGGCAAGGUGGCUUGCAUCUGUAAUCCCAGCGCUAUGGGAGGCUGAAGUGGGAGGAUUGCUUGAGCAUAGUAAAACACAAUUUCGACAAACAACAUGACAACAACAACAAAAACUCAGACUGUAAAGGAAUCCUGAGAUCAGUUUGAGAGCUGCAUGUCUCGUGGGUAAGCACCCAGGCUCUGGAGUGAGCAUGCUUGGUUCGAAUCAUGAUCUUAGGCAAGUUACUUGACUAGAGACUUAAUUUCCUUAUCAGUAAACUAGGCUAUUUCAUACAGUUAUUGUGAGCAACACAUGAAACAAUAUAUUAUUCAUUAUUUCACAAACAAUCAUUUCAUAAAUAUUAUUUCAUCAAGUAAUUUAUUGAAUACUGCAUCAAUGUAUAAAAAACCCUGUGGUUCCUGCUUUGAAGGAUGUAAAAUGACACAAGCUACAGCUCCUACUGGUAAGUAGUUUUUUGUCAAGGGCAAGAUUUCUGGAUUUGUAAUUAGCACCUUUGGGUUCAAUUCCCAGCUCCACCCUUUAUUAACUGAUCUGACCUUCAGCACAUCACUUGUUCUUGGGUAAGGUCAGAUCUUAAAGACCAUCUUCGAUGGUCCACAGAGAAGAUGGUAAAUUCCCCUUGCAUCUUUGAAGCAUCAUUGCCUCCUGCUUCAGUUUAACAACUGCUUUUGACCUUCCCUUUGAAAAUGACACUACAUCGCCUUUCCUCCCAAGCUACUGUAACCAUGCCACUAGAGGGCACCUCCUGUCUUCUCAGCCAGUCAUUCGCAGCUUCCUCUAAUUUGGAAAUGUUCUUUCAGCUGAGAUGAGUGAGUGGUAACUUAAGAUUUGAUGUCUUUAGGAUUUCCUCAGCUUGAUGGGUGUGGACUCCAAAGACGAGAGGAGGCAAGGAGGUAAAGAAGAUAUUGAAGAAUAUCAUCUGCCAGUAAUCGAUCAUGGUGGAGCCGGAGAAACCACAGAAGAAUUGAUACCAGAAGAGCAGGUUGACAUAGCACUGCAGGCAAAGAGCAUGGCCUUAUGAGUCAGACCCUGUGUGCAGCCGGUCACCAGCUGCUGCCGCCUGGGAGCUACUGGAGUGGCGGUUUCCUCAUUCCUCACGCAGGGUUAUGUAAGGAUUAGAGAUAAUUCUAAUCCUCAGAGCAGUAGCUGCUGCUGUUACUACUAUCACUGCUAACAUUCUUCAGGACCUGAAGGAAACUCCACCAACUUGUUUAAGGUGAGUGAACAGUAAGUCUUCACUUAACAUUGCCAAUAAGUUCUUAGAAACUACAACUUCAAGCAAAAUAAUGUAGGGAAAGUUCUGGAAUAAUUGUUUCAUUCAACAUCACAGUUUCUAAGAACCUACUGAUGACACUAAGUGAGGACUUACUGUACUAUGGUGGUUAAAAGUACAGAUUUUGGAGGCAGAGAGGCCUCGUUUUGAAUCCCCAGUCUGGCACUUACCAGCUGUGUGACCUUAGACAAACUGCUUAACCUUUCUAAACAUUUUAUCAUCUGUCAGCUGGGAAUAGCAGUGCUUAGACCAUGGCAUGUGAAGUAUGAAUGGUGGUAGAGUGGUAAUAGAAAGGGAUGUCACUCAUGAAGGGGUAAUAGAAAGACUAAACCGUGAGCAGGACACCUGGUAGGAGGAUGACCUCAUGAGAAGGUUGACUUCGCUAUACUUUCCUGAUGGUCACACAGCUCAGAAGGGUGAAUGAGAAAAUCUGCCAAAACAUUGUUCAUUUUUUUCUAGAGCUUUUUCCCACUCAAGAUCUCCUCUCUUGUGGAUGGGCUGGGUCACUGUUAUUGUCUACCAUUUUGAGAUAUGGUUUGGUGAUUUGAUCAAGGUCAUACAUAUAAGCAGCUGGUCCAGCAGUUAGGACUAGAACUUCUCAAUUAUGUGGGGCAGAGGCACAGAGAUCUGACGGGUCUUUCAAGGAAUCAUCCAGCAGUUUUGUGUUCAAGCUGGAACUCCUAUUUCUAAACUGCUGGGUCAAUGUUAUUUUGGAGGGGCUAUUAGUAGUAGUAACAUCAGUUAUAAAAUUUGACCUUCUAUAUGUGCCAGGAGUGAGAUAAACAUCAGUAUAUUAGCAUCUAAUAUAUCAUUGGAUGUGCAAUACACACGAUAGUUUGUUCUAACAACCUUGCCAGAUUAAUAUUGCUGAGCUGAUAGUACUAUAUAUUGUACAAAUAUAUCAUAUAUUGAUAUUAACAAUAAUAUUAACAUUAUUAGGCCCAUUUUACAGAUGAGGAAUCCAAGACUCUGAGAUACUGUUGCCUCUUGCCCAAAUUCAGAGCUAGAGAGUGGUACAAUCGGCAUCUGAAAUUUCAAAGUUCUUUCUCCCUAACCACCUCUAAACUUUCUCAGUCCUGCCUUGACUUACACAAUCAGACUCUUCUAGACCUGUACCGCCUGCAAAGCUGAAAGUAAUUAUUGUCUAGUUCUUUGAAGAAAAAGCUUCCUGAGCCCAGAUGUAGACAGGAAGCCUCACAUGGGCCAUGAUUGGCUUGAUUCCUGCUCUAUGCCCAUUGCUCAGCCCUGUUCCUGACACACAGCAGACACUGAAUUGUUGUUUCAAUUGAUGUAGUUGAUCUUAGCUCUAUUCUAACACUCAUCCUGGAGUUUUAACAUUACAGAGUGCUUCUUUCCUCCUGAGGCCCUGGUAAGAUCUUGCUUGAUUUUCACUUCUGCUUAACUGGAAUCUUUGUACCUUGCAGGGACUGCAUCGAGCCCUGUGGCAGCAUCGCUGAGACUGGACGCCUGCUCUUUCUAUCAAGAAGCUACAGUGCAGUAAUUAAUUCAUUGUUCAAAUUUCAGAGCAGGCCAGGUUUUAAUCCCCUCUGAAAUUGGUUUCGGAUGUGGAAGUCAUAGUUCUCCACCUUCUAAUUACAACAGGGAGAUAAUGUGGCAUCAGUAUCGCAAUUUUGAGCAUGGCAUUGGGCUGGAAAUAAAUAUCAUUUAAGCUUUGAAA
Molecule: non-coding RNA, 18278 nt
Organism: Callithrix jacchus (white-tufted-ear marmoset)
Lineage: Eukaryota; Metazoa; Chordata; Mammalia; Primates; Cebidae
Source: RefSeq, a predicted model, not a curated record